UGCAGUCGAACGGUGAAGCCCAGCUUGCUGGGUGGAUCAGUGGCGAACGGGUGAGUAACACGUGAGCAACCUGCCCUCCACUUCGGGAUAAGCCUUGGAAACGGGGUCUAAUACCGGAUAUGAGCUCGCAUCGCAUGGUGUGGGUUGGAAAGUUUUUCGGUGGGGGAUGGGCUCGCGGCCUAUCAGCUUGUUGGUGGGGUGAUGGCCUACCAAGGCGUCGACGGGUAGCCGGCCUGAGAGGGCGACCGGCCACACUGGGACUGAGACACGGCCCAGACUCCUACGGGAGGCAGCAGUGGGGAAUAUUGCACAAUGGGCGCAAGCCUGAUGCAGCGACGCCGCGUGAGGGAUGACGGCCUUCGGGUUGUAAACCUCUUUCAGCAGGGAAGAAGCGCAAGUGACGGUACCUGCAGAAGAAGCGCCGGCUAACUACGUGCCAGCAGCCGCGGUAAUACGUAGGGCGCAAGCGUUGUCCGGAAUUAUUGGGCGUAAAGAGCUCGUAGGCGGUCUGUCGCGUCUGGUGUGAAAUCCCGAGGCUCAACCUCGGGCUUGCAUCGGGUACAGGCAGACUAGAGUGCGGUAGGGGAGACUGGAAUUCCUGGUGUAGCGGUGGAAUGCGCAGAUAUCAGGAGGAACACCGAUGGCGAAGGCAGGUCUCUGGGCCGCAACUGACGCUGAGGAGCGAAAGCAUGGGGAGCGAACAGGAUUAGAUACCCUGGUAGUCCAUGCCGUAAACGUUGGGCACUAGGUGUGGGGCUCAUUCCACGAGUUCCGUGCCGCAGCUAACGCAUUAAGUGCCCCGCCUGGGGAGUACGGCCGCAAGGCUAAAACUCAAAGGAAUUGACGGGGGCCCGCACAAGCGGCGGAGCAUGCGGAUUAAUUCGAUGCAACGCGAAGAACCUUACCAAGGCUUGACAUGUACGAGAAAGCCCCCGAGACGGGGUUCUCUUUGGACACUCGUACACAGGUGGUGCAUGGUUGUCGUCAGCUCGUGUCGUGAGAUGUUGGGUUAAGUCCCGCAACGAGCGCAACCCUCGUCCUAUGUUGCCAGCGGGUUAUGCCGGGGACUCAUGGGAGACUGCCGGGGUCAACUCGGAGGAAGGUGGGGAUGACGUCAAAUCAUCAUGCCCCUUAUGUCUUGGGCUUCACGCAUGCUACAAUGGCCGGUACAGAGGGCUGCGAUACCGUAAGGUGGAGCGAAUCCCAAAAAGCCGGUCUCAGUUCGGAUUGGGGUCUGCAACUCGACCCCAUGAAGUCGGA
RNAcentral lists this ribosomal RNA (1260 nucleotides) under uncultured bacterium. RNAcentral's name for it is "bacterial SSU rRNA". It matches the Rfam family "Bacterial small subunit ribosomal RNA", at positions 56 to 1330 of the family's 1533-position model. The record is from RNAcentral.